GAGCUAUUAGCUCAGCCGGCAGAGCACCUGCCUUUUAAGCAGGGUGUCCCGCGUUCGAAUCGCGGAUAGCUCACCA
RNAcentral lists this transfer RNA (76 nucleotides) under Oscillospiraceae bacterium. RNAcentral's name for it is "tRNA-Lys". It matches the Rfam family "tRNA". Rfam says of the family: Transfer RNA (tRNA) molecules are approximately 80 nucleotides in length. Their secondary structure includes four short double-helical elements and three loops (D, anti-codon, and T loops). The record is from RNAcentral. Lineage: Bacteria; Bacillati; Bacillota; Clostridia; Eubacteriales; Oscillospiraceae.